ACUAGCUCCCAGUACUUGCAAGAGCCUGGGCCAGUGAGGGGUCCUGAAGCUCAAGCAUUAUUAACUUCACUGUAGAGCUGUUUCUGGUCUAAGAAUCAGUGUCGUCUGCAUGAAGUGGGCUUUUCUGGAGCAAUUAAUGCCCUGGGCACAGUGCUCCAUGUACCCCGAGACCCCUUGCAUACCCAUUUCAUGGAGUGGAUAAUCCAUUUGCUGGUCCUCCACAAGAUUAGAGCUAUUGAGAAUCUUAACUAGACAUACUUUGAGAAUCUUAACUAGAUAUACUUUGCUGUUAGUAUAAUUUACGGCAUUGUGUUAAUUCUCACUCAGCUUCAUCACCUCGUUGGAAGGCAGAAAGACAAGCCAAUAGACAAACUAGAAAAACCAAAAAUAGUUGACUAACUUGGAGCUGAUCAUGCUACAUGAGGACGUGGUCGUCUGAGCUUCAGCAAUUCCAGCGUAUUAUUAUUGUUUUUUUUUUUUUUAUCAUCCCUGGACCAUCCCAGUUAUUACCCAGCUUUUGAUCCUUUGCCAGUGUUCAUUACUUUAGGUCAACAGGAGAUUGAUAAAAGUAACUGUCAAGUUGAAUCUUAAAAUAGAGAACCAAAAUGUAGCUGAAAAAAUAUGCAUGUGUUCUAAUACUUCUGAAUGUUCUUAGAAAAUUGCUAAUCCGAAUUUUAAACUAUUACAUUUCAUUUUUUAAAAUACACAAGACAUUUGUUUCAUAAGACAUUUGUGAUGUUAUAUUUUGAUAUUCUGAAUAAUCCCCCUUGUGCCACAGUUUAGUAUAGUUUCAACGCAACAAAUAUAAUUUAGCUAAAAUUAGCUGAAAGCAUAAUGGAUAUUAAAAACCUUCUGAGAUACAAAGUUAAGAACAUUACAUAUUUCUUUGGUAUUGACUUUAUGUGAUGAAUCAUAUUAAUACAUCUCAAGUCAUUAAUCUUGUCUGUUUGUAUUUACUUAACUGGGAUAUGUAGUUUUGUUAUAUUCACUAUUUACGCCAGUUAUGGCGGAUGCUAUUUCACAUAUAUCUAAAAUUGGUUUACAUAUCAAGAUGAUUUAUUUAAACUAGACCAACAUCUACAUUCAUUUAUGCUGUGGAAAUCAGCUUUGAUUGUCUUUGUAGCCAACUUGGAAAAAAAAUCUGGUAAAAUCAUUUAGUUUCUGAGUUUGCUUUACGAGUGAUUUUCUCUGGGAAAAGAAGGGGGGGACUUCUGCUAAAUUGGGGAUCUGGGUAACUGAGCAUCUCUGGGAGGAACAAAGGAAUAGAACAGAGGGGCUAAUUGUUUAAUUAGUAAAUGUCUGCUUGGUUAAUGACAUAUUAAUGAGUUUUUAAGACCGUCAUAUCAUUUACCAUAAAAGACCCAUGUGCCUAUCCCUGGAUGUACUGUAUAAUUAAGUAAUGUGGCCCAGAGGAGUUAAUCAUUUAAAACCCUGUCAUCUUUCUCAAGUUUGCAGAUAGAAGAGCUAGCACAGAAGGCACCUGCCAGGUAGAGUCAGGGUGGCACAUAAUUCUGAACUAAAUUGUCUCUCUGCAACGGCUGCACAGUCAGAUGUCUGCCCAGAAGCAGAAAUUUUUUUUUUCUUUUGACAACUGAAAAAGCUGCUAAGAUACUGCCACUUGCUCCUUGGCACUCAGUUACUGGUAGUGAGAGUAUGUGUUUGCAGAAUAGGGACCACGUGAGCGGCUUUUGAGUACUUAAAAGACUGUGGAGGCUCAGAGGACUCAGAGAUUCUAAAACUGUGCUAUUCAAUAUGGCAGCCACUUGCCACGUGUAACUAUUCAAAUUUAAUUAAAUUAAAUAAAAUUUUAAAAUUAUUAUUUUUUUCAGUCAUAUCAGCCACUUGUCAAGUGCUCAAUAGCCACAUGUGGCAAGUGGCCCCUUUCUUGGUGGCACAGACAUAGAACAUUUCCAUCAUCACAAAUGGGAUGGGAUGGACCACAUUGUGGCUAAAUGCAAAUGGUGGUGGGGGCCACCAGGACACUGGCAAGCAGUGCUCACCCUGUGUUCUCCAUUCGCACCCGUGGAAAGCUGAAGAGAGAAUGCAUUCUUCAAACCCUGGAAUGUCAGCCCCAGUCCUACACCAAUAGUUCAUAUCCUUUUUUUCAUGGGGCAGAAUCCACACCAGAAUAUUGCAGCCAUUUGUUUAGACUAGAAAACGAUAAUUUCCCUUACCACAGAGCACACAGUUUGGGGGAUGAAAAUUAUGUUCUUAUUGGUAAAUUAUAGAGCUUACUACCACAAGCAGCACUAUGAAAUUUUCCAGCCCAGCUCUUUGUUCUAACCUACUUCCCUUAGACCCUCCAGAGCUUCUUGUUUCAGACCCGCAGAACUGAAUUCAAGUCAGAAACUGUAGUUCCACUGCUUUUGCAUAUGUCCAUGUGGUUUUUCAAUGUAAGAUAAACUCUAUACUCAAAAACUUUUGAGUGCCUCAAUUUUCUUCGACCUUCUGCAGAAAAAAGAGUUCUCCAAAUGGGUUAUUUUAAACAAUUUACUUCUCAUUCCUGUUUCUUGAGCUCCACUCUACAGUCGGAUUUGCAUUAAUAUUUUCUUGCUUUAGAUCUCUCCUCUCUCUUCCUGGCCUCUAUUUUUCUAAAUAUUUUUGUCAUGUUUUAGUCAUUUUAAAUUUAAUAUCCUGCAAAUGUCUAAUUAAUUAUGUAAGCAUGUGCCACCUUAUACAACUGGAGAGUGAUUCCAGUAGUCUUCAGGGUAGAAAUACUUAAGACCCCCUUCCUGAUCUGCUGGUAGGAGCAAGAGGUCUAGGAGCUCAAUCUGUUUCCCUUCAAGAUUCCUGCUGAAUCUUGACAAGGGAACAAGAACCUUGUCACCUACAUUGGGAAUCUUUGCUGGAGCUGUGUGAUAAUGGUGCUACUGCCAAUAACUUGGCACUGGCCAUAUCACACCUGACGCAAAUGCUCCAAAUAAUAUAAGCCUGGAGUCCCAAUCAUCCCACAAAUGCUAACACAUCAGACACCUUCUAAUUUCCAGCAGUCCAAGACUUUCUCUGUGUGAUUUGCAGUGGAAGAAGAACAAGCAGUUUAUUUUAAAAAACAUAGUUCCGGAGGUCAGUUAACGUACACAGCUCAGACAUAACUCUCUAGAUAAGUGCACAUCCAUCUUUCUGAGUUAGAGAAGUCCUGCAGAAAGUAUUGCUUGAGCGUAAAAAAAUGUUAUCACAAAAUUCAUGUAUUUCCGCCUUGUCUGACAUCAAAUAGGGUAGAUAGAUUCUUGCACACAAGUGUCACGUCUUUCCCUACUUCAUUGGCGGAAGGAGUACACUAUUUCUCUCCUUGCCCCUGUGACUUUGUCUCAUGGUGGACAAAGUGUACUUUUCCACCUCUUGGUCUGGGGCUUAAGUAUGUGUUUUACUUUCGUCAAAUAGAUCUUAUCAGGUACAAUUUUAUCAGAGGCAUAACCUACACUUGCCCAGUUGGGCUUGCACUCUUGUAUUCCUGCCUUUUAUCAUGAGAAGAUACCUUGAGUAACUUUUCUAAGCGGAUGAGAGAGACACACACGGAAUAACUUGGACCCAAUCUGAAGCCUGGACCCCAACCCAGCUGAGGCUAACCUAGCUCAGCUACAUCCCAGCUACCCUGAAGAUGUGUGAGUGAGAGAAAACAUGCUUAGUUUUGUAUGCCACUGAGAUUUUGGAUCUGUCAAUAACUGAGACAUCAGCCUUUUAAUGAUUAGCAAGACAAUAUUAAUUGUGUGUGAAGGUCAAAGGGCAUCUGAGGUUGUACGGGCAUGAUUGUCUGUUCUUUCUGGCUUUGUACUUUCGUGGUUAUGAAACACUUGGAACCAGAACAGGAAGAGUAUUUGCCAUUUCAGCCCUACCCUUACAUACUGACAUGGUAGAGAAGUACAAGAAGAUGGUCUUAGUCUUUGUCUUGGUGAGGCAUGCCUGAAAUGCAGAAGUGGGUAAAGGCCUUAGUUCUUGUGAGGCCUGUGAAGAUGGCUUUGAGAGCCAUUAGGGAAUUUUAUAAAUAUCCUAUUUCGCCUCCUUCCAGGACCAUGCUGUGUUUGCAUGUCUCCACUCUCCUUGAAGUUGUCCUUGGCCAAUUACUUGUUUUGGACAAUAAAAUAGGACCCACCACAACAAUUGAAGAAUGAUAUGGAAAGCCUUGAUAUACGAGUCAUAAAAUGGGAAGAUACAAAUGAAAAGGCACUUCUAGAGGGAAAUAUGUAUCACGGAGUCACUAGUCUACAGGUUCUGCCACUUAGAAGGCUAUGUAACCUUAGCCAAGUUACUGCUAUAUCACUUGAAGCUUCACAUUCCAUACAUGCAAAAUGGUGAUAAUACCAGUACACAUUUCAUAGACCUCUAGAGGAGUGGGUGGUAAAUGAGAAAAUUCACACAUCCCAGUGCCUGUUUAUCCUGUAUAGUAAAUACCAACAAAUAGAGGCUACAAUUACUUAAAUUAAUGGUCAUUUCAGUUUCUCCCGAGGACUAUGACGGUAUUUUUUUUUUCCUACUAAGCAAUCAAUUUGCUGUUUCUAUGUAAUACUUUUUUGGAGAGGAAGACAAACUUCCUAAAAAUGUUAAGCUAUCAAAAUAAAAAUGAAAAAAUGCACUUUUCUGUUAUUUCAACAUCACUCGUCCAUUAGACCAGAAACACCAAGUAAGCAUGACCAUCAAGGCAGUUCUUUGUGCAGUUUGGUAAUUCCUUUUAAGGCCCCCAGGGAGGCUGGUAGGAAAGAAUACUGAAUAGGAAAGCAAACAAGAUUAGGUCAGCACCCACUCUCCCUUUGGGGGGAUUCACAGUACUGUUUUUGUUUGAAUAAGCAAAGCUCUUGCAAAAGUUUGGCUUGUUUCUCACUGAAUCCAACGUCUUUUCCCUAUCCUUCGGCUAAUAUUUUAAAAGGUAAAGCAAGCAUUAGAAAAAGUAAAGUGGCAGUUUAAAUAAAAAGUGGAGAAAUGUUUUUCAAAAGGCAAACAAAGUCAGCCAAAAUAAGACAGCCUUCCUUAGCUGUAUGAACUGAAAAUCGGUGAGUGAAGCUAUGGAAACGUCUGUGUGCCUCUUCCCUGCCUGUAUCUAUCUUGGACACUUACAUCUUCACAUCAACAAAAUUAGUAAGGAAGUUAUUACCCAAUUUUACAAAUGAGGGAAGAGCAAUUAAGUAAAUUUAAAAGCACGAAAUAAAAAUGGGAUUUCACUCAUUCAUUAAACAGAGAUUUAUGAAUGUUGGUUUUAUGGCAAACACUGUUUAAACCACAAGGAUGUAACCUUGACCAAGUCACAGAAUAGAAUUUCAAGCAGCUAGAAAUGUAAUGGUGGGGUGGGAGGUAGACAAAUAAACAGAACUAGUGUGAUGAGGGCUUUGAAGGCUCCUUGGAGGAGGUGAAUUCAAGCUUGAGUCCUGCUGGGUGACUGCAGGUUAGCAUCUGCUAGGGCGAGAGGGCAGGGCACCAGGGGAAACAGAGGCAGGUCAAGGUGGCUGGAAUGUGGCAUGAGAGGCAAGCAGUGGCCAGAGCACUUGGAUCGUGAAGUUCCUUCUGCAUUAUGGCAUCUGGACUUCAUCAGAAUACGUUGUCGAUAUCCACUGUCUUUAUUAGAAUCUGAUAAAUCCUUAACCUUUCUAUCAUUACCACCUCCAUCCAAGCCAUUACAAUUCCUUACUGUGAUUAUUAUCAUAUUCUUUUGUGUGAUCUCCCUUCUGAUCUUGAGGUCAAGUCUAUUCUAACACUACCAGAGUAAGCCUGUUAAAAUGUAAGUUAGAUUAUAACUCUUCGGCUUACAACUUCCAAUGUUUUUUACUUAUUAAGAAAACAGACAAAUGAAAAAGAGCCUGGAUCCAUAUAGCCUGUAUGGCUUUACUGGAUCUGCUACCUUCUUUCACCACUCAGUUUCUACCAUAUACUCUCUGAUCUCACUUCUUAUUGCUGUUCCCUCUCCUCAUUCUGUCUGGUCCACUGAUUCAGCUUCCCUCCUGUUUCUAGAGCACACACAGUGCCCACAGCAUGCUGUCACCACAGGACCUUUGCACCUGCGACUCUCUCUGCUUAGAAUGUUUCUUCUUUCUGACCUCCUUAUUAAGGUCUCUACUUAAAUGUCACCUUCCUGCUGAGGCUUCCCCAAUCCCCUUUAUGUAAAGUUGUAACUCAUCCUCCUACCCACCUCAGGAAUCCCUGUCAUGGAAUUCACUACCUAACAUACUUAAAUUUCAUGUGUUUCUCUUGUGUAUCGUCCAUCUCCUCCUCUAGCAUGUGAUCUCCUCGAGAGGAGGCAUGUCUGCCUGUCUGCUCACUGCUGUGUCUCCAGUACAAACACCAGUGCCUGGAAUAGAGAAGCUUUCCACUGUUUAUUGACCACAUGAAUGAGUACACCUGGACACAACUGGAACAGUCGCAUAUGCCUUCUGAAUGGAGCUUUCAUUUCCUUAUAAGACAAGUAGUAAACACUGAACUUCU
Macaca mulatta (Rhesus monkey) is the source of this 6408-nucleotide non-coding RNA. NCBI's taxonomy places the organism in Eukaryota, Metazoa, Chordata, Mammalia, Primates, Cercopithecidae. The record is from RefSeq and is a predicted model, not a curated record.